UCGGGAAGAAAUCUCAAAAUCAGGAUCGGCUAAAAAGGAAAUACCAAAAGAAAAGAAGAAAGUGGUAAAAGUUCUGUCUGAAGUUGAGGAGUGGCACUACAAUAUACAAUGCGCUAUGCACCAUGAACUACAACUUCCCUCGUCCAGUCACUGCACAAUUAAGUUACUUCCUCCCGUUCUAGUUCAGUCCUAGAAGGAAGUGACAGCUUUUGAAUAUCUGCACGAAAAUACUUAAAGUUUCAGCAACGAAUCGAGUACGAUUAAAAGAAACAAGUUUCCAUGCUUCUAUAGGAUAUAAUCUAAACAUAUAGGGAUAAAGAAUGAGAUGGUGUGAACUCAAUCAGAUCUAAUGUCCCC
Molecule: long non-coding RNA, 357 nt
Filed under: Nicotiana tabacum (common tobacco)
Lineage: Eukaryota; Viridiplantae; Streptophyta; Magnoliopsida; Solanales; Solanaceae
Description: long non-coding RNA (NTAB_LNC012427)
Source: RNAcentral